Molecule: long non-coding RNA, 3282 nt
Organism: Fukomys damarensis (Damara mole-rat)
Lineage: Eukaryota; Metazoa; Chordata; Mammalia; Rodentia; Bathyergidae
Source: Ensembl
UUGUCGCCCCCAGCGCCGCCGCCUGCACCACCCGCGCCGCCCCCGUUGGAGGCGACCGAGGAGAGUUUGGAGGAGGGCGAGGGGUCGGGCUUCCCGAUCUGCGAACAUGUUUGCGCCAGCAGCGCCAGCGGGCUCUUCUUGGCAUCGAGCUGCAGGGUCACAUGGGGAGGGAGGGUCACACAGAGAAAGAGGGGAAACCCUUUAGAUUCCUGGCUUUUACGGUUCUAAAACCCCUCCGCGACGGUCUGCAAAGACCAUCAUAGCCCCAAGGUUCAAUCCGAGGCGGCACCUCCUCCAUACCCACCAGAGAAGAUUCUCGCCCUUAGAGAAGGCACAGCCCCCGCCCCCAGUCUGGGUCCUGCCUGCAUUCUCCAAGCUCUAAUGGAUUUGGAGAAGGGGCAUUCAAUAUGUUUUGGUUUUCUUAGAGCCAGAGCUAUAAUCCCCUCCCAGCAUACACUUUGGUUUUUCAAAGCAAGGGCUUGGGAGGCUGGGGCCACUGAACACACAUUCUAGCUUCUCGGGGAGCCCGAGGAUGGUGACUUUGGGACGUAUUUUGGGCCUCGCCCGCCUUCGGGACUCAGUGGGUGGGGGCUUGUUUUGGGGUAGGGUCUUUAAUACUAAAAGGAAAAACAAGUUUGGGCCGCCGCGCCCCCUCGCAUUCGGACCGCAUUCCACCUUUCCCCUUUCCGCCCUAGUUUCCAGGUGCGGAAACCCUGUCCUCUACCCCCAUCCCGGAGCUGAUUCACUCCGUUACCCCACCCCCACCCUCCGAUCCCAGCAGAAAGAAACCCUGCAGGGAGGCAGUCCGGGUGGUGGCCCCAGCCUGACCCUUGGAGAGGACCCUUACCUCGAUGGGGCUGACGGGCGUGGAGGGCAGGGGCUGCAGAAUCCACGGAUUUCUCUGGCUGUCGUUUGUGCUGAAUUUAUCCAAAUUUGAAUUUAUUCAAAGCCAGCAAUCAGGCAUCCAGCAGAACCAGCUUUCUACUGGCAAGUACUGUACACUACGCCUCGCCUGGCCAGGGGUGAGGGGGUGGCUCUUGGGGCACAGGGGUGGCGAGUAUCAUCUCCGAGGUCAGAUGUACCAAAGGUGCCCUCAGGCCCAGCAGUCUCUCGCUGCCCAGCAGUGUCUGGCCGCCCCUGCUUUGCCUAACACCCAAAACAAGCCAGGCCAAGUCCGCUCUCAGCGAAAACUGAAAGGAAACUCUACUGCAGGCGUAGCCCGAAGUUUCUUUGAAGCAAGUUUGCAACUGAGAUUAUUGACGGCUUUGGGAGGACAGCGGGCUCAUGUGAGCGCUCUCCCGGUGGGGUGGGGUCUAAGAAGGGCACCGGGUGCCCUGUCGUGGCCCUAGGUGAAAACACUAGGGAAGCCCGCCGCUCCUUCGAAACUCUUCGGCUCUGGAUGGUAAAAAGAAAGAAAGUUUCCAAGCUACCACGGACAACCUGCAUGGAUCUCGCUAGGGGGGCAACGGGAGGGGGCUGGCUUUGGAAAAGUUGCUGAAAGCCCUGCUCAGAAACGUCACCCUAUGAAACUCAAAAAAACUUAGGACCAGUUUGCCUUCCUUGAGACAGAGUGGUCAGGAAUCAGGCUGGGCAGCCCUCUGCCCACUUCUCAACCCUCACCUCUAGCAAGAGGUCAAAGAACCACCACCGCCAGCGUUGCAAACUUUCAGCUCUGCGCUGCCAACCGCGAACAAGGCCUGGACACAGAGGGAUGGGAGAGACCACCCCCGGCAGGAUGGGAGGAUGAGCGCGGUUCCCCCUAGUUUGUUCCGGGCCCCAGAGUCCAUCCCCCAACCCUAGGCAUUCGGCGCUUUUCCCGGGAGCUGCGGAUUGGGGAGCCUGGUGAGGGGCGCAAAGUGCACGCGCGGACUGGCGCGGGGGCGGCUGCUCGUCAGGCUGCUCGUCUCGCCGCGGGGCCUGUCGCCGGGCUGGCCGCGGCGGGUGAGUGAUGAGGGCAGAGAAGGGCGCCCAUAAAUCGUGGGUGUCAGGGCGAAAAACUCUCUUUAUUGUCUGCGUGAUGGAUGGGCCCGGGGACGAGACACCAAAUACUUCGUAUCGCCUUUAAAUGGGAACACAUUUUCCGCGGCCAUAAUUCAUGUUUUUUAAAUAGAAAGUUUGAAAUGUUGCCUAUAUUUCACCGGCCCUGACAUAUUUAUGAAUCGCUCCUUGCAUGCAAAUAUCAUUAUUUAAAGUGCCAGGGAGAGCACGGGGGAGGGGGUAAGGCGCGGCCCCGGGGCGUAGGGGUGGUGAACCGGGGAGAUGUCGGUGGAGGGGGGACAUCUCCCUAAAGGGAAGAGGAUGGAGCGUGGGGGAAAGCCGUGUUUGGAAGCUGAGCGCACCCUGGGGCUUCUCUUCUGCCGCCAGACAGUGCGCUGCCACAGUAGGGUGGUGGGGAGCGCGGUUUGGGGUGCAAAACAAGCCCCAGUCUCCUGCCCCUAGACCAGAAGAUAUUUUGGGUCUCUCUCCAGAGGACUGGAUCCAAACUGAAGCCACCUUUUCCAAGAAGUAAAAAAAAAAAAAAAAAAAAAAAAAAAAAAAAGAAUAAUUUAACAAACGCAAAUAAUAACCCAACAUCUUUCAUGUUCUUUGCUAUUGCAUUGAUUUUAUUGAUUUUCAUUCUGCAAAACUGGGAUUGUGCGCACCCGGACCAGGCGGCAGCCAGAAACCAGUCACCGCAGGGGGUAGGUGGGGGGGAUAAGCCUCGGGUACCACCGCCCCAUCCGCCCCCACCCAGCCGCCUCAACGUCUCCCAGGCACAAUGGAGAUUGCGCAAGACGCGGGACACAGAUGACCCGGCCCCCCAGCUCCGGGGCUUUAGUCCCUCCCCUUCUUUGCCCCAGUGCACCGCAGAGCUUCCAGGGUCCGCAGCUACCCUCCCGGACCCCCUACGGUCAGAAUGAUCGCUUUGGAAAAAAAGCCAAGCCCAGGCCGUCGCUUAUUCCCAGUCAUCCUGCCCUGGAAGCGCCUACACCUGCGCCCUUACUUGCCAAGACUUUACCUGUGCGGUCCCGAGCCGCGCCUGCGGCCGCGCAGAUUACACAAAAAUGGUAGGGAGGGUGGGAGAGUGGGUGGGUCAGAGAGCAACACCCGAGAGGGCCAGAGGCGCGGACCCAGGUGAGUCAGUGUGGACCCGAUGCUGGGGCCCUGGCCCAACCGGUUAGCGGAGCCGAAUUGCACGGGGAAGAUCCGGCUCGAGGAAGGACGAAGGCAACAAGGCUGGGGAAGUAGGGGCGGUCCCAGAGGCACUUCCGCUGGAGGUGGGGCUGCGGACUGAACCGCUGA